GCCGGGCAUGGUGGCUCAUGCCUGUAAUCCCAGCACUUUGGGAGGCCAAGGCAGGCGGAUCACUUGAGGUCAGGAGUUCGAGGCCAGCCUGGCCAACAUGGUGAAACCCUGUCUUUA
Molecule: non-coding RNA, 117 nt
Filed under: Nomascus leucogenys (northern white-cheeked gibbon)
Lineage: Eukaryota; Metazoa; Chordata; Mammalia; Primates; Hylobatidae
Source: Rfam by way of RNAcentral